Molecule: ribosomal RNA, 279 nt
Filed under: uncultured bacterium
Lineage: Bacteria
Description: partial 16S ribosomal RNA
Rfam family: Bacterial small subunit ribosomal RNA
Source: RNAcentral
UGCCAGCAGCCGCGGUAAUACGGAGGGUGCAAGCGUUAAUCGGAAUUACUGGGCGUAAAGCGCGCGUAGGCGGAAUGUUAAGUCUCAUGUGAAAGCCCUGGGCUCAACCUGGGAACUGCAUUCGAUACUGGCAAACUAGAGUAUAGAAGAGGCAAGUGGAAUUCCGGGUGUAGCGGUGAAAUGCGUAGAUAUCCGGAGGAACAUCAGUGGCGAAGGCGACUUGCUGGUCUAAUACUGACGCUGAGGAGCGAAAGCGUGGGGAGCAAACGGGAUUAGAUA